Molecule: ribosomal RNA, 192 nt
Filed under: uncultured Bacteroidota bacterium
Lineage: Bacteria; Pseudomonadati; Bacteroidota
Description: uncultured Bacteroidetes bacterium partial 16S ribosomal RNA
Rfam family: Bacterial small subunit ribosomal RNA
Source: RNAcentral
AUNNCCCCCCACACUGGUACUGAGACACGGACCAGACUCCUACGGGAGGCAGCAGUGAGGAAUAUUGCGCAAUGGAGGAAACUCUGACGCAGCCAUGCCGCGUGCAGGAUGAAUGCCCUAUGGGUUGUAAACUGCUUUUCUGCAAGAAGAAACCUUAGUACGUGUACUAAGCUGACGGUAUGCAGGAAUAAG